UUUGAUUUACUGACAAUUUGUACGUGCAUUUUGAAGGAAUAACCGUUUGGAAGGCAAAGAACAGCUCUACCGGAAGCAGCUCAACAACAGAGAGCCAGCCAAGUAAACCAGUGGCUGACAUGCAUCCUUCUGAAGGUCCUGGAAAGAGCUUUAGAAACUUUCGGUUCGAUACUGCUUCAAUAGUUCGUGCAAUGGAUGCUGCCUUCUGUGGAUAAAGUUCUCGUUGGUAGAUGUAAUGGCUGUAUGUUGUGUUCAGCCGUUCGGGAAUCAAGUACAUUCUGUACAGCAAACUAUGGGUGGAUGGUUCAGAUAUUUCCUUUGAUGUGCAGUUUAUCAGUUAGGAAAUUGAAUAGUUCAGACUUUUCAUGAAGCAAGCUUGUUAUUCAGAUAGAUCAUGCUCAAUAUAUAUGUAUAUUUUAUCCCCUUAAAUCCUUCUUGAGACUUGAGAGCAGUUACUGGUAACUUGAGGCUGAAUAUUUUAAGUAUUGAAGUUUUAUUUUGUUGUUUCA
Molecule: long non-coding RNA, 509 nt
Organism: Olea europaea var. sylvestris
Lineage: Eukaryota; Viridiplantae; Streptophyta; Magnoliopsida; Lamiales; Oleaceae
Exons: 2
Source: RefSeq, a predicted model, not a curated record